CCCUUAGAUGUUCUGGGCUGCACCCGUGCUACACUGGCAGGUUCAGCGAGCUUCAUGCCCUGAUCUGAAAGGAAUGGGAAAUCUUUUCAAAACCUGCCGUGCUUGGGAUAGAUGUUUGCAAUUAUUCAUCUCCAACGAGGAUUGCCUUGUAAGCGCACGUCAUCAGCGUGCAUUGAAUACGACCCUGUAUUCUGUACACACCGCCCGUCGCUCCUACCGAUUGAAGUUUUCGGUGAGUUGACAGGAGGAUUUUUUUGAAACUGGUUCGCCAGUGGAUUUUAGAUCCAAAUGCCAACGAAUCGAUGACUUUAGAGGAAGGAGAAGUCGUAACA
RNAcentral lists this ribosomal RNA (332 nucleotides) under uncultured eukaryote. RNAcentral describes it as "partial 18S ribosomal RNA". It matches the Rfam family "Eukaryotic small subunit ribosomal RNA", at positions 1470 to 1796 of the family's 1831-position model. The record is from RNAcentral.